RNAcentral lists this ribosomal RNA (553 nucleotides) under Bacillus sp. (in: firmicutes). RNAcentral describes it as "bacterial SSU rRNA". It matches the Rfam family "Bacterial small subunit ribosomal RNA", at positions 115 to 653 of the family's 1533-position model. Lineage: Bacteria; Bacillati; Bacillota; Bacilli; Caryophanales; Bacillaceae. The record is from RNAcentral.
ACGUGGGUAACCUGCCCAUAAGACUGGGAUAACUCCCGGAAACCGGGGCUAAUACCGGAUAACAUUUUGAACUGCAUGGUUCGAAAUUGAAAGGCGGCUUCGGCUGUCACUUAUGGAUGGACCCGCGUCGCAUUAGCUAGUUGGUGAGGUAACGGCUCACCAAGGCAACGAUGCGUAGCCGACCUGAGAGGGUGAUCGGCCACACUGGGACUGAGACACGGCCCAGACUCCUACGGGAGGCAGCAGUAGGGAAUCUUCCGCAAUGGACGAAAGUCUGACGGAGCAACGCCGCGUGAGUGAUGAAGGCUUUCGGGUCGUAAAACUCUGUUGUUAGGGAAGAACAAGUGCUAGUUGAAUAAGCUGGCACCUUGACGGUACCUAACCAGAAAGCCACGGCUAACUACGUGCCAGCAGCCGCGGUAAUACGUAGGUGGCAAGCGUUAUCCGGAAUUAUUGGGCGUAAAGCGCGCGCAGGUGGUUUCUUAAGUCUGAUGUGAAAGCCCACGGCUCAACCGUGGAGGGUCAUUGGAAACUGGGAGACUUGAGUGCAGAA